CCUACGGGAGGCAGCAGUGGGGAAUAUUGGACAAUGGGCGAAAGCCUGAUCCAGCAAUGCCGCGUGAGUGAUGAAGGCCUUCGGGUCGUAAAGCUCUUUUACCAGGGAUGAUAAUGACAGUACCUGGAGAAUAAGCUCCGGCUAACUCCGUGCCAGCAGCCGCGGUAAUACGGAGGGAGCUAGCGUUGUUCGGAAUUACUGGGCGUAAAGAGUACGUAGGCGGUUAUUCAAGUCAGAGGUGAAAGCCCGGGGCUCAACCCCGGAACUGCCUUUGAAACUAGAUAACUAGAGUCUUGGAGAGGUUAGUGGAAUUCCGAGUGUAGAGGUGAAAUUCGUAGAUAUUCGGAAGAACACCAGUGGCGAAGGCGACUAACUGGACAAGUACUGACGCUGAGGUACGAAAGCGUGGGGAGCAAACAGGAUUAGAUACCCUGGUAGUCCACGCCGUAAACGAUGAUAACUAGUUGUUCGGUCACUUGGUGACUGAGUGACGCAGCUAACGCAUUAAGUUAUCCGCCUGGGGAUACGGUCGCAAGNUUAAAACUCAAAGGAUUGACGG
Molecule: ribosomal RNA, 559 nt
Filed under: uncultured bacterium
Lineage: Bacteria
Description: bacterial SSU rRNA
Rfam family: Bacterial small subunit ribosomal RNA
Source: RNAcentral